UCUCAGCUCCUCAACUGCCACUCACUUCUUUUGAUCCUCAUCUCAGCAUUCCAGAUCUCCCUGCUCCCAUCCUUACAUCAUGGAUCAAAGAUGUUCUUGGGCUUUCAGAGGCUAUGACCAACCCACAUUCUAGGAGGCACUUCUGUAGAGGCAAAAGCUUUCUGCACUGGUCCAACAAUAGACUUUAUAUGCAUGUCAAUUGUUCAAGAAGUAUUCUGGGUUCCACAUUUCCAUAUGCCUCUGUUUCAAGCUGUCUUAUCAUGAAUGCCACAUUGGCUUUCCCAACUGUUUCCCAGAGAGUACUACCAGCUAACUCAAAUUUGAUCAAAUGCCCACACCCCAAAUGGACAUUCUUCAUUGUGACAAUGUAUAGAAACACUUCACAGAGCAACUUUUGA
This 398-nucleotide long non-coding RNA is filed under the name Monodelphis domestica (gray short-tailed opossum). RNAcentral describes it as "lncRNA (ENSMODG00000032565.2)". Lineage: Eukaryota; Metazoa; Chordata; Mammalia; Didelphimorphia; Didelphidae. The record is from RNAcentral.